AGAACCAGCAUCAGCCAUAGCAUCAGAGGAACGGUCUGGAAAGGCCGGCGAGAGAGGGUGACAGCCCCGUACUCGAAGAUGGCGUGGUUGUGAGUUCGAUGAGUAAGGCGGGACACGAGAAAUCCUGUCUGAAGAGGGGGGGACCAUCCUCCAAGGCUAAAUACUCCUGACUGACCGAUAGUGAACCAGUACCGUGAGGGAAAGGCGAAAAGAACCCCGGCGAGGGGAGUGAAAGAGAACCUGAAACCGUGUACGUACAAGCAGUGGGAGCC
Molecule: ribosomal RNA, 272 nt
Filed under: Photorhabdus luminescens subsp. sonorensis
Lineage: Bacteria; Pseudomonadati; Pseudomonadota; Gammaproteobacteria; Enterobacterales; Morganellaceae
Description: partial 23S ribosomal RNA
Rfam family: Bacterial large subunit ribosomal RNA
Source: RNAcentral